UAUCAGCACCCCGAGUGAUCGGGACGAUUAUUGGGCCUAAAGCAUCCGUAGCCGGUUCUACAAGUCUUCCGUUAAAUCCACCUGCUUAACAGAUGGGCUGCGGAGGAUACUAUAGAGCUAGGAGGCGGAGAGGCAAGCGGUACUUAGUGGGUAGGGGUAAAAUCCGUUGAUCCAUUGAAGACCACCAGUGGCGAAGGCGGCUUGCCAGAACGCACUCGACGGUGAGGGAUGAAAGCUGGGGGAGCAAACUGG
RNAcentral lists this ribosomal RNA (252 nucleotides) under uncultured archaeon. Its description in RNAcentral is "partial 16S ribosomal RNA". It matches the Rfam family "Archaeal small subunit ribosomal RNA", at positions 474 to 727 of the family's 1478-position model. The record is from RNAcentral.